Molecule: ribosomal RNA, 292 nt
Filed under: uncultured bacterium
Lineage: Bacteria
Description: partial 16S ribosomal RNA
Rfam family: Bacterial small subunit ribosomal RNA
Source: RNAcentral
GUGUCAGCCGCCGCGGUAAUACGGAGGGGGCUAGCGUUAUUCGGAAUUAUUGGGCGUAAAGGGCGCGUAGGCGGCUCGACGUGUCCAAGGUGAAAUCCCUCGGCUCAACUGAGGAACUGCCUUGGAAACUGUCGAGCUUGAGGCCGGGAGGGGGUAGCGGAAUUCCCAGUGUAGCGGUGAAAUGCGUAGAUAUUGGGAGGAACACCAGUGGCGAAGGCGGCUACCUGGACCGGUUCUGACGCUGAUGCGCGAAAGCGUGGGUAGCAAACAGGAUUAGAAACCCCCGUAGUCC